This is a non-coding RNA of Picea glauca (white spruce), 46 nucleotides long. The record is from Rfam. NCBI's taxonomy places the organism in Eukaryota, Viridiplantae, Streptophyta, Pinopsida, Pinales, Pinaceae.
AUAAUGGUGUCUUUAGACACCACCUCCAUGUUCGAAAUUUUUAUUU